Molecule: ribosomal RNA, 253 nt
Filed under: uncultured bacterium
Lineage: Bacteria
Description: partial 16S ribosomal RNA
Rfam family: Bacterial small subunit ribosomal RNA
Source: RNAcentral
AACGUAGGACGCAAGCGUUAUCCGGAAUUACUGGGCGUAAAGGGCGCGUAGGCGGUUCUGUAAGUCCCGCGUGAAAUCCCCCGGCUCAACUGGGGAACUGCGCGGGAAACUGCGGGGCUUGAGUUCGGGAGAGGGAAGCGGAAUUCCGGGUGUAGCGGUGAAAUGCGUAGAUAUCCGGAGGAACACCGGUGGCGAAGGCGGCUUCCUGGACCGACACUGACGCUGAGGCGCGAAAGCUAGGGGAGCAAACGGG